CAAACGGCUCUUUUCAGAGCCACCUCAUAUUUUCACCAAAAGAUAG
Non-coding RNA from Dipodomys ordii (Ord's kangaroo rat), 46 nucleotides. Lineage: Eukaryota; Metazoa; Chordata; Mammalia; Rodentia; Heteromyidae. The record is from Rfam.